Molecule: ribosomal RNA, 301 nt
Filed under: uncultured bacterium
Lineage: Bacteria
Description: partial 16S ribosomal RNA
Rfam family: Bacterial small subunit ribosomal RNA
Source: RNAcentral
CAGCCGCCACGGGAAUACGAAGGGGGCUAGCGUUGCUCGGAAUUACUGGGCGUAAAGGGAGCGUAGGCGGACAUUUAAGUCAGGGGUGAAAUCCCAGAGCUCAACUCUGGAACUGCCUUUGAUACUGGGUGUCUUGAGUGUGAUAGAGGUAUGUGGAACUCCGAGUGUAGAGGUGAAAUUCGUAGAUAUUCGGAAGAACACCAGUGGCGAAGGCGACAUACUGGAUCAUUACUGACGCUGAGGUACGAAAGCAUGGGGAGCAAACAGGAUUAGAUACCCCGGUAGUCCCUGUCUCUUAUAC